RNAcentral lists this long non-coding RNA (18524 nucleotides) under Vitis vinifera (wine grape). RNAcentral's name for it is "long non-coding RNA (VVIN_LNC004773)". Lineage: Eukaryota; Viridiplantae; Streptophyta; Magnoliopsida; Vitales; Vitaceae. The record is from RNAcentral.
UAGCACCUGUGUAGAAUGCAAGCUGCUCGGUGGCAAAACCCAAACGCUCGGCUAACGGGGUAAUACCUAAUAAGCUGAAGAAGAAGACCCAUCCAUGCUUUCCAGUAAGAUAAUGUAGCAAAAUUGCUAAGGGACCGAAAGGUAGCAACAUAUUUAUCUUCGCUUUAAUCAAGACAAUGUAAACACUUCUUAGAGGAGCAGUCCUCAUUUUUUUAAAGAUCCAUGAGGUGGAGAGAGCUGCAUGAGACCCAAUAUGAGAUGUCUCGAAGUCAAAAGAAUGAACUUUUCUUGUGCCUUGUGAUGUGCUAUAAGGGAUCUCCGCAUCUGAUUCAAGGUCUAUCUUCUCCUCAAUGGAACCCAUCUCCCUCUGCGUGUCCUUGGCUUUGUUAUCUUUGUUGGUAAGGAUGAUCCUUCUUUAAAAUUCCUCUCCCCAUGCAAAAUAGAAUAAUAGUAUAAAAAAAAUAAAAAUAAAAAAUUAAAAGAAAAUUAAAGAAACUAAUGAAAUUAGUAAUAAAAUAGAAUAUCAUUUCAAAGAAAAAGCAAAGGAAUAAGGAGAGCUUAGAUAAUAUCAUUUCCUCGUUCGAUAAUAGGGUCACAUGCGUAUUUAAAGUAUAAACAAUUCAAUCAAUUUUUUUAUUAAGUAAAUAAAUAAAUAAAAUAAAAAUAAAUAAAAAUAAAAAUAAAGAAUAAAGACAAUUAAAUACAUGAAUAAAUAAAUAAUAAAAAGUAAAAGUAAAAAAUGAAUAGACAAAAUAAGUGUAAUUAUCAAAUACAUGCCAUAAUAAUAAUAAUAUUAUAUAUAUAUAUAUAUAUAUAUAUAAGAAAUAAUAAUAAUAAAAUGUUGAGCCUCAAUGAAAUGUCUAAAUGGACCUAUUCUGAAAAAGGUGUCUAAGUGACCCAAGUGAUGUGUGUAAAUAAGGAGAUGUCUCGGUGCGAGUCAAGGUGAAUCUAGGUGGGCCUAGGGUGCCUAAAUGGGCUUAAGUGCCUAAGUGGGCCCAGGGUGCCUAAGUGGACCUAAGAUGGUGCUUAAUGGGCCAAGUGAAUCUCAAAACUAUCCUAGAAAUGAAUGAAAAGCCUAAUUCUAAAUUAGGGCUGCCAAAGGUCACAAUAAAGGGUCAGAUAGUCCCUCAACCAAAAUCUCCGAGGUGACUCAGAAAAAGGUAAGUGGUACGAGUAGUAAUGGGCCACCCUGGAACUACCGUGGAGCACUGGAAGUGGAUUUAAAGACAUGUGCUAAAGGGACAAAAUUGAGGGUCUACAAAUAUGCCCCUCUUCGGUAUAGAUCACGAGUGUAGAGAAUGCAAGUAGAAACACGAGCAAUGAGCGAAAUGAAGUGAACUAUACUGAAGAAUUAAAGAAAGACCAGAGAUUUUGUCCUAGCGCAUGAAGAGGUAAGGUCAAAAGAUGGGGUCUCAAUGAUAUAGACGGGACAACUCUAUGCGGGGGGAAAUGACAAUAAAGAGAGAAGGCAUGUGACGAGUAGCACAAAGAUGGAAAGAGGUGAAAAGGUGACUCAAAGUCGUGAAUGAGAUGAGUGAAUAUAGGUCAUGGACAAGAUGAACGACUCUGGAUCUAAAAUAAGAUAAAAAGACUCUGGGUCAUGAGCUCAGGGCUCUAAUUGGGAAGAAUGACUCUGGGUCAGGAUGGAAAACGACUCUAGGUCGAGAGCCGUAGGCUCUAAAAUAGGAAAGAAUGACUCUGGGUCAAAAGUGAAAAAAUCGACACUGGGUCAAGAGCUCUAGGCUCUAAAUGGAACAGAAAUGACUCUGGGUCAUAAAUGAAAAACGACUCUGGGUCGAGAGCUCUGGGCUCUAAAUGGAAAAUCGACUCUGGGUCGAGAGCUCUGGGCUCUAAAUGGAAAAGAAAUGACUCUGGGUCAAGAACUCUGGGCUCUAAAUGGAAAAUCGACUCUGGGUCAAGAGCUCUGGGCUCGAAAUGGAAAAUCGACUCUGGGUCGAGAGCUCUGGGCUCGAAAUGGAAAAUCGACUCUGGGUCGAGAGCUCUGGGCUCUAAAUGGAAAACCGACUCUGGGUCGAGAGCUCUGGGCUCUAAAUGGAAUACCGACUCUGGGUCGAGAGCUCUGGGCUCUAAAUGGAAAAUCGACUCUGAGUCGAGAGCUCUGGGCUCUAAAUGGAAAACCGACUCUGGGUCGAGAGCUCUGGGCUCUAAAUGGAAAAUCGACUCUGGGUCAAAAGCUCUGGGCUCGAAAUGGGAAAAUCGACUCUGGGUCGAGAGCUCUGGGCUCUAAAUGGAAAACCGACUCUGGGUCGAGAGCUCUGGGCUCUAAAUGGAAAAUCGACUCUGGGUCGAGAGCUCUGGGCUCUAAAUGGAAAAUUGACUCUAGGUCGAGAGCUCUGGGCUCUAAAUGCAAAAUCGACUCUGGGUCGAGAGCUCUGGGCUCUAAAUGGAAAACCGACUCUGGGUCGAGAGCUCUGGGCUCGAAAUGGAAAAAUCGACUCUGGGUCGAGAGCUUUGGGCUCUAAAUGGAAAAUCAACUCUAGGUUGAGAGCUCUGGGCUCUAAAUGGAAAACCAACUCUGGGUCGAGAGCUCUGGGCUCUAAAUGGAAAAUCGACUCUGGGUCGAGAGCUCUGGGCUCGAAAUGGAAAACCGACUCUGGGUCGAGAGCUCUAGGCUCUAAAUGGAAAAUCGACUCUGGGUCGAGAGCUCUGGGCUCUAAAUGGAAAAUCGACUCUACGUCGAGAGCUCUGGGCUCUAAAUGGAAAAUCGACUCUGGGUCGAAAUGGAAGGUGACUCCGGGUCGAGAGCUCCGGGCUCUAAAAUAGGAAAUAAUGACUCUGGGUCGAAAUAGAAAGUGACUUUGGGUCAAGAGCUCCGGGCUCUAAAAUAGGAAACAAUGACUCUGGGUCGAAAUGGAAAGUGACUCUGGGUCGAGAGCUCCGGGCUCUAAAAUAGGAAACAAUGACUCUGGGUCGAAAUGGAAAGUGACUCUGGGUCGAGAGCUCUGGGCUCUAAAAUAGGAAAUAAUGACUCUGGGUCGAAAUGGAAAGUGACUCUGGGUCGAGAGCUCUAGGCUCUAAAUAGAUAGCCGAUCAGGAUACUUUCCGACUCAAGAUGUCGGGUCGAGGCCACUCACAAGUGGCUAGAAUGAUGAAAACGAAACAUCUCAGGGAUGUGAAUAAUGCAAAUGACUCCGGGUCGUGAGCUCAGGGCUCGGGGUGCUAUGAAUGACUCUGGGUCAAGAUGGAAAAUGACUCUGGGUCGAUGAAUAGCUCUGGGCUAUGAGCUCCGGGCUCUAUGACUGAUCGGCUAGAAGGAGAAUGCGAUACGCAAACUCCAGGUCAAACCACUCAUGGGCGACCAAGUGAUGAAAGCUCAGCUAAGAGCUGGGAAGACUCUGGGUCUAUAGGAAAUGAUAGCUCAGGGCUAGCGGGCUCAAGGCCUAAGGGAAAAAAGAUAGCUCAGGGCUACAAGACUCAGGGUCUAGAAGGAAUGGAUAACUCAUGGCUAUGAGGCUCAGGGCCUAAAAAAAGGAUAGCUCAGGGCUAGCGGGCUCAGGGCCUAAGGGAAAAAGGAUGCUCAAGGCUAUAAGACUCGGGGUCUAGAAGGAAUGAAUAACUCAAAGCUAUGAGGCUCAGGGCCUAGAAGGGAAUAAUAGAGAAGACCAACUCGGAAGUGGACAUGAAAUAAAUUGGCUCAAAGCCACAUACUCAAAAUGUCAAGGGUCGGACUACUGAAACCAAGAAGGGAAAUAUGCCCCAGUAUCCAGGGUGCUCGCACUGCCGAAACAACCAGUAAAUCAAUCAUCCGCUGAAAUCAAUAGGUCAGAAACUGAUGCAUCGUGACAAACCUCUGAAAAGUCUAAACUGAAGGAACCCUCUAUGUCUGAAAAGCUGCUCUGUCGAUGAAUCUCAAAAGGUAAAUCUCAAAGAGUGUAUAUCAUGGCUCAUCUAAAAGUAAACCUCAAAGUGCGUAAAAUGCUGCUCAUCUGGAUAAUCCAAUCUGCAAGGUAACAAUGACGAAAACAAAUCUGUCUCAUGAACAUCUGGCUAAAGGAUCUACCCACACUCCUCGGGUGAAACCUGAUGCGAUCCAUCUCUAUCUCAACAAAUCCAUGUAGGGAGGCCCUGAUACAGUCGAUCAUCGGAAGCUCUAGGCUAGUGCUCAAUCUAAAACCAAGCUGGCCACUGUCUCAAUCUCAAGGAUACUCAAAGAAAAUGGGGGAAAUAUGCCCCAGUAUAAGAUCUGAUGUCAAAGUCGUAAGCUAAACAACCGGCACCAAUCAUCCAUCCUCAUAUCACUGCCUAAAUAAAUCUCAUCAUGGAAAGGGGGAUAUGCCCCAGUAUGGAUAUCGGAUGUCGAAGUCGUGAGGCAAACAAACUAACAAUGAUCAUCCAUCAUCCAUCCUCAUAUCACUACCCAAAUACAAUCUCAUCAAGGAGAGGGGAAUAUGCCCCAGUGUGGAUAAUCUAAUGUCGAAGUCGUGAGGUAAACAAACUAACAAUGAUCAUCCAUCCUCGUACCGUAUACAAUAACAGAUAAGAAUCUCGGAGGAAGGGGGGAAUAUGCCCCAGUGUGAAUAUAUGAUGCACAACCAAAGGAUGAAUCCAACAUCAUCAAUCAACUAUCCUCAGCUCAACAAUAAUCCGCUAAGAAGUCAGAAUGAUGUAUCAACCAAUGCCUCAAGGGAGACACUCUAAAUCUAAUCUCAAAUGAAUAGCCAAAAUGAUGAGGAAUGUGAUAAUCUCAAAAGUAGAAACAUGUCUCUGAUGAAUCCCUGACUGAAUCUGAUAGGAAUCUGGUAACCUCAAAAUGGGGAAAUAUGCCCCAGUAUGCCUGGUCUAUACACUGCACUGAAAACUGCCUCCAACUCAGUAAUAAUCCACUAGUCUAUCUCAGAAAUACUCCACAGAUGGAAACACUAGGGGCUCAACGAUGCUCCACUAGAACUGAUAUAAUCUCAACACACCCCACUACGGAUCUCUGAUCGGUGAAAAUGACCAGACUCAAAGAAAGUGCUCCACUAGGGGCUCAUCUCAACCAAAUGAAAGGGGAAUAUGCCCCAGUAUGGACAUCUAAUGCACAACCAAAGGAUGAAUCUAAUAUCCUCAAUGAACUGUCUCCAAACCCAAAAAUCCAUCGAACAUCAAUAUGUCAAGCAAGAGAGAUACCAAAUGCUUCCAAAAGUAUCUUCCAUAAAAGAGAACAUAGUAACGACCAAACUUCAACCAAUCUACCAAAAACCUGUCCAAGUGAAGACUGUCAAAGAUAACGUCUGAUCUCGUGGCCUCAGGGUGGUCUUAAGACACGGGACGUAACGUAGGCCAAGGUGAUAGGGUGAAAGAAAUGAAGGGAAACUAGGCUCAAAUACCCAAUGAUCAAACCCGUACCCUCGUGUACAAGAUGUAAUGCAUAGAAAAAUCUCAUGAGUCAUGGACUUAGAAAUAACCAAAGGGAAUGCCGAUAACAAAAUGAGAGAAAGGAUGAAUGGUCAAACCAUCAAUGAAAUAUGUGAAUGAUGUGAAGAAGGUAUCAAAUCAGUAAUGGGUAUCAAUAUGUAGGGAAUGAAUAAAAGGUGGAACAAAGAUCUGGAAUGCGGUAAUGGAAUACAAAAGAAAGCAAUGAGAAUGUGGAAUGAGUGAUGAUCAACCCAUGUUAGUACAAUAAAGGAAAGUCAUAUCACCAAUGAUGGAAUGGUGGGUAAGACAAUGAUCUGGAGACCCUAGUAAAAAGAUCACUCAUCUCUCAUACCUAAUAUAUAUCAAUCAUGAUCCAAGAAGCAUAGGAUCUCGUAGAACUCUCAUAUGAACCCUCGACACUCCAAAUGCAUAACAGGAGUGGCUCAAGGACCGAAAAAACUCAUAAAAACUCACAAAAAAACCCAUAAUGACAAAUAUACCCAAUAAAUGAACCUCAAAAGGUGGCAUAAAUACCCAAUGGAAUGAGAUACCAUACAUGAGCAUAUCCUUGCGCUUUUCUUUUCUUUUUUUUUUUUUUCUUUUUUUUUAUUUUUUAUUUUUUUCUCUUUUUUAUUUUUUAUUUUUAUUUUUUUAUUUUUUUGCUUUUUUUUUUUUUUUUUUUUUUUUUUUUUUUUUUUUGCGCAUGCUCUGAUCAUCAAUAAGUCAAACUCCAAUGGAAAAGAUACAAGGAGUGAAUAAACUCUCUCAAAUCACUGAUGAAUACAUGAACCCCAACCCAUGAGACAACCUCUCAAACUAAGAUCUCCGAAUCAAUGUCAAAUGAUGGAAUGAAUAGAGUGAUAUGACUGCCCUCUUUGCACUAAGACGUGAAGAAUCAUCAACCCAAGGAAGAGAAUAAUAAGAUGAAGCAAAUAAUGAUAGAGAAAAGAAAGAGAAUGAAUAUAUGAUGAUAAUAAAAUAGAACAAAUAGGGUGAUAAGAGGAUGGUAACAAGAGUGAGAAGAUAAGCCUAUAAGUCUAAAGCUCAUGAGACUUUCCUAGCAAAGCAUCCAUAUACAUCAAAGGGCCCCAACCCGGGUGUAGAAAUGGUAAUCAAAGCUAUAAGAAAGAAAUAAGGCUAUAAUAUACCACGUGAGGCUCAAUGGGCUAGCAAUGGUUUAAUAUUUCAAUAAAGGUGAUAAGGUGUAAGGUUAACCGAAAUGAUGGUCACCCAUCCUGCGACCACGGUCUCAAACAUAAUACUUCUUCAGCUGAUCCACGUUGGUAGGCUCUGAAAAUUGGUUUCCAUCUAAGUCUGUCAACCAUGCAGCCCCUUCUGGAGUCAAUUCUCGGAUAACAUAAGGCCCACUCCAACUAGGUCUAAACUUUCCUCUAGGGUCUCCAAUCAAACCUCUGAGAAUCCUCAAAACUAAAUCCCCUUUUUGCAAUGGUCUAGGCUUAACUCGUUUCUUGAAGGCACGAGCCAUCUUUCUCUGAUAGGCCUGAACAUGAUCUGCUGCUCUCAAUCUCCUCUCAUCUAAAAGGUUAAGCUGAUCAAAUCGAGCCUGAGCCCACUCUGUCUCAGAAAUCUGCUGCUCAAGGGCUACUCUCAAUGAGCCCAUCUCUGUCUCUAUUGGCAAAACAGCCUCCAUACCAUACACUAGGGAAUAAGGCGUAGCUCCUGUAGAGGUGCGAAAAGAGGUGCGGUACGCCCACAAUGCAAAAGGAAGCUUCUCUGACCAAUCUCGAGAAGUCUCAACCAUCUUCCUCAAAAUCCUCUUAAUAUUCUUGUUUGCAGCCUCUACUGCCCCAUUGGUCUGUGGCCUAUAUGCUGAAGAUCUAUGAUGUCGGAUGCCAUACUCCUGCAACAAAGUGUCUACCUCAGCUCGGAAGUGCGCCCCUCUGUCGGAAAUCAACUCAUGAGGAACCCCAUAGCGGCAAAUGAUGUGUGAUCUGAUAAAACUGGCAACCCUAGCAGAUGUCAACCUCGCAUAUGAUGCGGCUUCCACCCACUUGGUGAAAUAGUCUAUGGCAACUAGGAUGAACUCAUGACCACUGGAAGAUUUUGGUGAAACCUUCCCAAUAAUAUCAAUACCCCAUACUGAAAAUGGCCAUGGCGAAGUCAAGGCGUGUAACUCUGAUGGUGGUGCAUGUAUGAGAUCACCAUGAAUCUGACACUCUGGGCAUUUCUGGACAAACUGACAACAAUCUGUCUCCAUAGUCAACCAGAAGUAACCCGUCCUCAUAAUCUUACGAGCUAGCAUGUGUCCUCCCAUAUGCGGACCACAAACUCCUGAAUGGACCUCUCUCAUCACUCGAUCUGCAGAGGCUCGAUCUAAACACAACAGAAGCAUACCAUCAGCUGAUCGCCUAUAUAAGGUAUCUCCGCAAAUCACAAAUCUAGUAGCCAAAUGCCUCAGUGCUCUCCGAUCCUUGGCAGUGGCUACCUCAGGGUAUGUGCCAAAUCUGAGGAACUGAUGAAUGUCAUGAUACCAAGGUAGAUCAUCCUGGUCCUCUAUCUCCCCAAUCAAACAACAAUAGGCGGGUGCAGACCUCGACUCAAUCAGUAAUGGACGUAUGACUACAUCAAUCGGAAUGUCCACGGAGGAAGCUAAAGUAGCUAAGGCGUCAGCAAAUCGAUUCUGCGCUCUAGGCAGAUGAACAUAUCUCAAGUCGUCAAAUCUCGCAACCAACAACUCUAAAUAAGCAUGAUAUGGCCUAAGCUUCACGUCCCUAGUCUUCCAAUCCCCCUGAAUCUGCCUGAGUACCAAAUUGGAGUCACCAAACACCUCCAUCUGUCUAAUGUCAAGCUCUAAUGCAGUCUCUAAACCAAGGAUACAAGCCUCAUACUCAACUAUGUUAUUCGUGGCAGGAUGUCGAUCAGAGAAUGCCAAACGAACGGACCUCGGAAUAUGAUCACCCUGAGGGGAUACCAAUAGAACACCAAUCCCAUACCCUGACUGAUUGGCUGCACCAUCGAAGUACAUGCACCAUCCUAAUAAGCUGGUCAUAACAACAAACUCCUCAUCUGGAAAAUCAUCAUCAACUGGUCUAUCCUCAGAUGUCGGUAGUGAGGCUAAGUGAUCGGCGACAAUACUUCCCUUAAUAGACUUCUGAGAAACAUACUGAAUAUCGAACUCUGUCAAAAGUACAAGCCAUCUCAUCAAUCUACCAGUCAAUGCAGGUCUAUCAAACAAGUAUCUUAACGGGUCCAGGCGGGAUAUCAAAUGUACUGAGUACUCCGUCAUGUAAUGCCUCAAUCUCCUGGUAGCCCAAACUAGUGCUAAGCAUAGGCGCUCAAUCAUAACAUAUUUCAUCUCAUACUCCAACAUCCUCUUACUUAGGUAGUAAAUAGCUCGCUCCUUUCCUAAGUCAUCAAUCUGAGCUAACAUACAUCCCAAUGCCAUGUCUGAAACUGACAAAUAUAGGAUAAGUGGACGUCCUGGCGUAGGAGGCACUAAAACAGGAGGAGAAAGCAAAUACUCCUUGAUCUUCUCAAAUGCAAACUGACAGUCAUCAUUCCAAACUGUUGGCUGGUUCUUCCUCAAAAGACGAAAGAUAGGCUCACAUAUGUCUGUCAAUCUGGCUAUGAACCGACUAAUGUACUGUAAUCUGCCCAGAAAACCUCUAAUCUCUUUCUCAGUCUUUGGUGCAGGCAUGUCAAGUAUGGCUUUGAUUUUAUCUAGGUCGACCUCUAUGCCCCGCUCACUGACUAUAUGUCCCAAUAACUUCCCAGAAGUCACUCCAAAGGUACACUUCUUGGGAUUCAACCUCAAUCUAAACUUCCGGAUCCUCUCAAAGAAUCUCUCUAAAGCAUCUAGGUGAUCUGCUCUACCUCGGGAUUUCACAAUCAUAUCAUCCACGUAAACCUCGACAUCCCUAUGCAUCAUGUCAUGAAACAAAGUGGUAGCGGCUCUCUGAUAAGUGGCUCCUACGUUCUUCAACCCAAAUGGCAUAACUCUGUAACAGUAGGUACCCCACUCAGUAAUAAAGGUUGUCUUCUCCAUAUCCUCUGGAGCCAUCAAAAUCUGAUUAUACCCUGAAAACCCAUCCAUGAAAGACAACAUCGAAUGGCCUGCGGUGCCAUCAACCAACAAAUCAAUGUGUGGAAGGGGAAAGUCAUCUUUAGGGCUGGCUUUAUUGAGAUCUCUGAAGUCAACACAAACCCUAACUUUGCCAUCCUUUUUAGGAACAGGGACGACAUUAGCCAACCACUCUGGAUACUCAACUACUGAUAUGAACCCAACACUGAGUUGUUUCUGAAUCUCCUCUUUUACCUGUAGACUCCAACGUGGAUGCAACCGUCUCAAUUUUUGCUUAACUGGUUUAGCAUGUGGUAGGGUAGGUAAAUGGUGCUGGACUAUAGAGGGAUCAAGACCUGGCAUGUCCUCAUAAGACCAUGCAAAGACAUCCAAGUAUGACCUGAGUAAAUGGAUGAGUCUAUCUCUCUCAUCUGUAGAUAGGGGUGAACCAAUCUUCAGCUCUCUAGGCUGAUCCUCUGUGCCAAAAUCAACAGUCUCAACGUCCCCUGCAGCAGGUGAAACUCUCUCAUCUAUGGGACCAGAGUCAUGAUCAAAAGAGUCCCUAUCCGAAUUGGGCUGUGCAAUCUCAUCAUCUAUAUCAAAUAUCUGUGUAAUGGGUGAGUGGGGUGCAGACGUAGAGAUACUAUCACAAGAGACAGGCGAAUACUCAAAAAUGCUCAAAUCCAUAAAUGAAGCAACAGAAACAUCGUCAGAGCGGGAGACAAAUCCCGAUAAAACAUCAAAAGAAAGAGAUGGGUCCACAAGGUCGGACGCUCCCUCAACUGGGCUAACAAUGCCCUCAAACAAACUACUAUCAUCCUCUGGAAGCUCUGGAACAGGAAGAGUCUGAGUCCCCUCAAAAACCUCAAUGGUAGAUACCCCAAACAUAUCAAAUGCUGAAACAGGCUGAAGCUGAACAAUGCCGGCAAUCUGGCUCACGGUCAUCAUGUCCAUCUCAUCACGGUACUCAUCAUGGGGAACAACUCCAUCAAUCACCUCAGUAUGAUCAACAAUCACCCCGUCACUCGUGAUCUCCUCUGGAAAGCAUAGAGACAACAUGCUAGCUCGAUCUGGAGACGUGGGAGUAAUCGUCAUAGGGAAAAAAGUGUCGGGAGCCCCAUCACUCAACUGUAGCUGGUGAAAUAGAUGUUGAAGAUCGGUCUCUCUAUCUGUAUGAACCACACUAUCAAUCUCCUCUAAACGAGGUCGAGUCUCUGAUCCUCUGAUAAAGUAGUCAGCCAAACUCAUCCUAUAGGGUCGAAUAGGAUAAUCAAAUGGUGUGUGGGAUAAACGGGCUCUCACCCUCUCCUUGCGCAGCCGCGCCAUGUGACGGUAAUCGGCCUCAGUAGGGAUGAAUCCAAGUCCAAAUGUCGUAUCAUGGUCAAUGGCAGCUAUGAACUCGCUCGGUCCCUGCUGACGUCGUCCUAACCCCAUGCCAGGUAGAAAGGUCAUACCCCUCAUCAUAUCAAGAACCACUGUACUACUGUGCUGAUCAAACGACAUAGCCACAAAGUCUCUACAACAAUCCUCAAUCUCGAGAGUCUGUACCUCAUCAAAAGUAAACCCAGUCAGAAGUAGGUCGUCCUCACUGUGACUGAUCUGAAGUACUGGCUCAGAAGACGCAAAUAUAUCCCUGGUAGAGCGCACUGUGAUGACCUGCCCAUCAUGAAUAAACUUCACCUUCUGAUGAAGGGAAGAAGGAAUAGCUCCAGCUACAUGAAUCCAUGGUCGGCCUAGUAGCAGGUUAAAGGAUGCAGGAAUCCUCAAAACCUGGAACAAAGUGGAAAAUGUGGCUGGACCAAUCUGCAAAUCGAUCAUCAAGGUACCCAUAACCUCUCUCUUGGUGCUAUCAUACGCUCUGACUGUCUGAGUAGAAGGACCAAAAUCUGAAGGCGCGAAACCAAGGGCUAUAGCAGUGGCUAAAGGGCAAACAUUCAGGGCUGAGCCGUUGUCCAGUAGGACAGACGGGACUCUACGGCCUGAACAUCCAACUGUGAUGUAUAGAGGGCGCACGUGGUCUAAACCAUCAGGUGGCAAGUCAUCAUCUGAAAAUACAAUGCAAGUGGCCCUGCCAGCCGUCAUCAUAUGAAUCAAUCCCUCUGGAGUGGUGGUAGUCUCUACUCUGAUCUGACUCAAGGCUCGAAUCAAAGCAUCUCUAUGAGUACUGGAUGAUGCUAGUAAACUCCAGAUGGAAAUGCGAGCCUGAGUGCUCUGUAGCUGCCUCAAAACCUCAUCAUCAUCUCUCCUAACCUCCUCAUGAGAGGCUGUACCCUCAAAUGGUCUGACUACUGGUGGUGGUGGCUGAGCUAUCCUCCCACUACGAGUCACAAUCUGUAUCUCUCUCCCCUCCGAAUCAUCAUCCUCUGGCCAUAAGGUGAAAUGAACAAAAGUAUCCUGACAUCCGAUAACUAAGGGUGUAGGAUGAGUCAACUGGAAUGGUGCCUCGUCCGGGAUCAAACUGAAUGGUGCAGGAGUCUGAGGGACCAAUGAAACCCCAUCAAUCUCAUAGCUGUCAUGCAAAACAAUCGGCUCGGGUAAUCCAUCAUCCCAACUCAACAUGUGUAUACUGUCAUCCUCUAUAAGGUCCAUGUGAUGAAUAUCUCCUGAAGAUGGAUGCACUGCGUGUGUAGAAUGAGCAGGAAGAGGGUUAGUGGUCACACUUGGCUGCCCCAAGUUGACCAAACCCUGAUCUAUCAAAUCCUGAAUAGCAUGUCUCAAAGCAGUGCAAUGGUCCGUGUCAUGCCCUGGUCCCUGAUGGUAGGAACAAUGUAAGUCCAUCCUAAAGCGAGGUGGUAUGGGUUGGGGUAAAGGCCUGGAUGCUAAUGGAAUCAAUAAUCCACCCUCUGCGAGCUUCUGAAAAGCUCGACUCAAAGGCAUACCCAACUGAGCAAACUGACGUGGUGGCCUCUGCACAUAAGUAGUGGUCUGUGGAGCUCGGGGUCGAGUAUAUGGGGCAGGAGGCCUCUCUGCGACGUGUGCAGCAAAAACAGGCUGUGAGUCUGGAUGCAGAUAAGUAGGAGUCAUGGGUCUGGAAGGAGCGGGUGGUCUGUAAUGCGCAUGAGGUGAAGGUGGAUAGUAGUACCCAGGAGUCUGCCCAACUGUCUGAUAGUGUCUAGAAGGUCUCAUCCCUACUGAACUGAUAGCACCAACAUCUCCUGAUCUCUGUCCUCCUGAAGGCCUCUUCCCCUUAGAAUCAGUAGGGGAAGGCUCAGACCAUAAUCCUCUAGCAAUGCCCUCCUCUAUACCGUACAAAGCCUGUACCAAAGAUCCAAAAUCCGUAUGGGGAAAUCCCAUCAAGUGUCUAGCAAAUCUAGGCUGCAAGCUCCUCAUGAUCAUGCUAAUCUGAUCCUUCUCUGAAGGACGGUCUAUAAUCUGUGAAAUCUUCUCCCUCCAGCGGGAGAUAAAUGAAGUGACUGACUCCUCCGGCCUCUGUCUCAAAGCCUCCAACUCUCUCCUCGAAACAUCAAUGACAGUGUUAAAUGCAAACUGUCUCAAAAACUCCUGGGCCAAGUCGUCCCAAGUCCUACGGCGUGAUACCUCCAAUGAAGCGAACCAACGCUGUGCAGCUCCACUCAGGGACAUAGGGAAAAGCAUAACCAUCUGGGCCUCAUCCAGUCCAUGGGCCCUCAUAACAGUACUAUAGAGUCUCAAAUGGAUGCGAGGGCAUCCUAUGCCUGUGUAUCUCUCAAUCUCAGGCAUCCUGAACUUGGCCGGUAGACUGGCCACUGGUGCUCCAUCAAAAUCCUCCCAAGUAAUAGCUCCCUCUGAAGUCCUCAUCUGUCUCAACUUCUGCUCAAGUUUAUCCAUACGAGCAUGUGGGUCCUCUGAAGCCGGGAUAGGCGAUGUGAUAGGAGGUGGGGCAACCUCGAUCUGACUAUGCAGAGUGAAAGGUAUAGCCUGUGGUACUGACUGACUAGGCAGAGGUGGUGGCGGUACUGUGGUAUCGAACUGGGUACUCUCCUGAACUGGGACCUGCUGGGUCUGCUGUCCAUCUAUCCUCUGACCAAGGUUAGCUAUAGCCUCCUGGAUAGAAGCCAUGGCUGCGGCAAACUGGUCAACGGUAACUACCUGUGAGUCCAUAUCCCUCUGAUCUGAUCUCUGAUCUGACUGGUCUGAUACUCUGCUCAAUCUACCUCCAACUCUAAUCCACAAAGGUGAAUCCAGAUCGGUCACGGUAAACCCUCCUACAAAUAUGGAAACACUGAAUAAGGUGCAACUCGAAGGUGACUCUGUAUGAAUCAAAGGCGUUGAAGCAAAGCCCAAAUAUACUCAAUCUGAUACCCUCUUCUGAUUACACCAAAAGGAGACUAAGGAAGGGAUAACCAAUUCCAAUUGUGACCAAGGCAGCUCUGAAGGUCCACAGAUGCACCCACGUGUAGGAAUGAAAUCUUAAUUGGGUCUAGGCUAACCUACAAGGUUAAGGUGGCUCUAUAAGAUAAAAUGGGCGGGUCAAAGGAUCCCUAGCAGAAGCGAUCGUACCCUCCGGCGGUACGCAACCCUCUGCACGCCUCCAAGGAGACGGGGUGCUUCCAUGCAAGGUGGUCAUCACCUCCACACAUGCACUUCCUCGCGUUCCCAGGGGGUUUCUUAAUGGUGAAGGCUCUCCCAUCUCUCAACACUCAGGGAUAAUCUAAAGUGCACAAUGAAGGAUGUGGGUGCAUCCGAAAAACCUAAGAUCUAAAGUGAGAUAGUGAAUGAAGACAAGCAAUCAUACGAACAUGCAAGAGAAAGGGUUGUCAUGCAACAAGCAGCCAUGCGUAGCAGAUAAAUAUCAAACAAUCAAAGUCCUAUCUAGCAUAUGUGAGAGUGAAUCAUGCUAAGUGAGCAAAACAAUCAAGUGAUCAUCCAAGGCAAUCAAACAUAUUAAGAUAGCAAACCAAACAAGCAAGCAAAUCAAAUCACCUUGCCUAAAAAAAGAGGUACCCACUAAUCGACCAAUUAAACGCCACAUUUUCCUUAAAUAGUGUUCAAGCUUGAUCCUCAAAAUCCCCAGUGGAGUCGCCAAUUUGUGGACCCGCAUUUUUCACAUGCGUCCCCACUCGAUCGGCGAGACUCGCUUUUUAUUUGUGAAAAAUUAAUUUUAAAAAAAAGUUGGAGUCGCCACUUAUUUUAUUUUUAUUUUUUAAGGGAAAAUAAAACAAGAAAUAAAACCCUAAAAAAAAUGACUCCAUAAUUUUUGGAAAAGCGUGUCUUUGAAAACCCAAGUCUUGGUCCGGGGAUCAGGUUACUUAUUGGGAAGGUACCUCUAAGAGGUAGCACCCUUCUAAGCCCUAAAAAAGUCUCUACUAAUUAAGUUAAGGGGAAUAUGGCAAUUAAUCGGUUAAUUAUGGAUACUAAGUAGGCUAGGUGAUUUCAAAAGAUUUGCAUGCUAAACAAGAUCAAAUUGCCAUAAAAGAAAGGUUAGGAUGCGUACCUGGACCGCUUCUCAAGCGCUAUCAUAAAACAUCAGAGUUAGUAUAGAAGUAUAACACACAACAUGUAUUUAAUCAUAGUGAAUCAAGCAUACAUCUAAACACCUAAGGAUCAUCAAACAUAUGCAUACUUCAUAGUGACACGAUUGUUUACAAAAUUUAGAAAGUAGGCGAUAGGGGGGGGCGUACCUGGAUAGCAUAAAUAACUUACAAUGCGCUCCCAGAAGACAUGAGGGAUUAGAUAAUAAUAAAAUAAAGAAACCCUAGCAUGCUUGUUAUCUAAUUAGCAUAACAAAAAUUAUCAAAGUAUAUGAAAACAUUAAUUAUCACACACAUCUUAUAUACAAUUCCUAAAAAAAGAUAGACAUAAUUUCAACGAGUGACAAAAAUGGCAACAAAAAUAAUUUUUGAAAAGAUUUUCUUAUGUAGGGGUUUCACCAAUUCCCCAAUUGAUAUACACGAAUUUAGCCCAGAAUCAUCCCAUUAUUUGGGACCACAAGCUUUGAUUCGUGUUUUUGUUCAAAACCAAAAUUUUUGUUGAAAACCGAGAAGGAUGCAAACCGAACAAGAUAUGGUUGCAUAUUAUUUUUAAAUAAUAAAAAAAAAAAGAGAUUUUGAUCCUGAGGACUCUAAAUGAGUUUUUGAAAUAGAUUUUUAAAAUGAUUUUUUUGAGAAAAGUAUUUUAUUUUAAAAUAAAAGGAAUUAAUUUGGAAAAAAUAAAAUAUAAGAAAUAAAAUACCCAACAAAACAAAAAUGAAACCUCAAAGUAAAAUUUUUUUAGUAAUUAACAAAAGUGAUAAUGGUGAUGGUAGAGGCCAAUCUUUAUGAUUUUCCAAUGGCCUUUGAACAAAUUUAAUAAAUAUUCACCAAAGCAACAAACCAAACGACUUUAGAUCAAAUAAAACUAACGAAAUAUUAAUCGAGAAUUUAUUAGGAUCAAUCAAGCACAUAAAUUGAGGUAAACAAUUAAGAACUAAUUUAAAAUCAACCAAACACCUAAACAUGUAAUUAUAAUAAUGUGAAUAUAGUAACACAAGCACAUAGAAUUCUAAAACAUAUUAACUAAUCAACAACUAGACAUUAAUAACUUCCAAAACAAAAAAACAAAACUAAGUAACGAGGGAUUAAGCAAAAUGAUAACCAAAAUUAAAAAAAAAAGGACACAUCAACUAAAUAGAAAAGCUAAAUUUAACUAUUUUUAAUACAUGAGUAUAAUAACAUGGGAUAAAACUAAUUAACUAAAAUUUUGAAAAACUAUAAACUAGGACAAGAUUAGUCAAAAAUCAAAAUUAACAAACUUUUUUAAAACAUGAGCAUCGAUUAAACUAAUCAACUAAAACUCUAAAAAACACACGUACUAAAAUUAGGUCAAUCAAGAAUUAAAAUUAACAAACUUACAACAUGAGAAAAAUAACUUUUAAAUUAAAUAUCUAAAACUCUAAAAAACACACAAAAUAAAAUUGGAUCAAUCGAGAAUUAAAACGAACAAGCUCAGAACGUGGAUAUAAUGACAUGAGAAAGUAAUAGACUCAUCAACUAAAAAUCUAAAACACAUAAACUAAAUAGGGUCAAUCAAAGACUAAAGUUAACAAUUUUAAACAUGGAAUUAAUCACAUAGGUUCAAUAGGAAUAAUAAACUAAAAUUCUAAAAACACAUAAGCUAGAUAAGAUCAAUCAAAACUAAAGUUAAAAAAUUAAAACAUGGAUUUAAUCAAGUGGUUCAAUAGGAAUAAUAAACUAUAAUUCUAAAAACAUAAGCUAGAUAAGAUCAAUCAAAACUAAAGUUAAAAAAAAUUAAAACAUGGAUUUAAUCAAGUGGUUCAAUAGGAAUAAUAAACUAUAAUCCUAAAAACAUAACAACCUAGAAAAAUCAAAACUUGGAAUCAAGACAAUGAAUCAAAAUCAAACUAACUACAUUCUAACCUUUUCAUCCGAUUAAAAAAUCAAAAUUAAUACAUAAAAACUCUACCCUUCAAUCCAAUAAAAAAAUUAAAACUAAAAUCCUUAGAAAUUCUAACUUACCUUCUCUAGGAUUCCUCUAUGGUGGUGCAGCUGCUCCUCUCUUUCUUGCCCGGCCUCUCUUUGUUCCCUCGAAAAAAUGUCUCCGUGUUCUCUCAAAAAAUUGCUUUUUUACGUGGAUCGCUCUAAAAAAAAUCUGUCCCUCUACCUAUAUGGCAGCCUUACCUUUUAAAAUACACAUGUGAUGGUCUCUUCAAUACGGAAAGCAUGACUGCCCAUAUGGAAUCAUGAUUUUGUCCCCCAAAAAGAAGAAAAAAAUCUCAUGCAACUUGGAUAUUUCCUCAUUAAAAAUUCCGUUUUCCAUAAAUUCUCCAAUACAUACCCAUAAAGCAUUUUGUUCCGAGAAUCACGAUUUCUCCAUCUCCUUGCCGACAACCCCGCUUUGUAUGGAAUAUUUUGUUUCUUUUUUUUAAUGCAUUUGGACAUAUGGAAAGUGCAUUGCAUGGUGGCUAACUUGAGAUUCUCAAGGAUGCAGCCGCAUGUUGUGAUAGUCACCGGAAUGGGUGCUCCAACUGGCAUGGAUUGAAACCCUCCCCAUAAUGAGUAGACUUCAUAUUUUCUUCUAUCAUUUUGAUGUUUUCCGCUUUGCAAACAUGGUUCUAAAGGCUCUGUAUAAGUCAGACGUUGCAAUAUUGAAUUAAGAAAACAGGUAUUACCCAGAUUUUCCAAACCAACACCAAUUGUUCUACUUGUGAUCCCAAUACCGAGCUCCAGAUCCAACCCGUUCUUCAUAUGAUUAGACCCAUCUUGUUUUUUUUUUUCUACUCGAAGCCGCCAAACCAGUAUUGUGCCCGGGUCGCUUUGCAUCUGUGGUGGGGUUCAGAGUCUCAAGGCUAAAACCUCCGUCUCCGUCUCGAUAAUCCAUUCAUCGUCGUCAUCACUGUUCUCAUUGCUUCUCUAUUUCUCUCCAUGUGUUCCAAUCUUCUCUCACCAAAUCAAACAACACUGCUAAUUCAUUAAAAUACUAAUUAAACUUCUGCCUCCAAUCACCUCCUCACCGCGACUCCACCUUGUUUUCGUCCACAACAAUCAGGAAAAAAUCCAGAUUCCGGCGACUCUCUGGUGAAGUCCUCUCUCAACCUUUCUGAAAAUUCCCCAAGAUCUUCUGCCCCGUUCUUUAUCUCUCAAACAACCAUCUUUACCAGAAUUUCUCCACCUCUAUUUUUCAGAAGACUUCCCUCCUUACUCUCUACUUGGACUUCUUUUUCUGCUCUCUGUUUUCUCCAUUCUUCACGUCUUCUUCCCCUAUUUUUCUUUUUCCCUUUCUCCACCCAAUUCUCUCUCUUCCUUGCUUUCUGCUCAGUUAUUCUUCCACUUCUUUUGUUUCAGCAAAAUAAUAUAUCCCCUUGCUGUAGCGCCUGUGUAGAAUGCAAGCUGCUCGGUGGCAAAACCCAAACGCUCGGCUAACGGGGUAAUACCUAAUAAGCUGAAGAAGAAGACCCAUCCAUGCUUUCUAGUAAGAUAAUGUAGCAAAAUUGCUAAGGGACCGAAAGGUAGCAACAUAUUUAUCUUCGCUUUAAUCAAGACAAUGUAAACACUUCUUAGAGGAGCAGUCCUCAUUUUUUUAAAGAUCCAUGAGGUGGAGAGAGCUGCAUGAGACCCAAUAUGAGAUGUCUCGAAGUCAAAAGAAUGAACUUUUCUUGUGCCUUGUGAUGUGCUAUAAGGGAUCUCCGCAUCUGAUUCAAGGUCUAUCUUCUCCUCAAUGGAACCCAUCU